UACGUAGGGUGCGAGCGUUGUCCGGAAUUAUUGGGCGUAAAGAGCUCGUAGGCGGCCUGUCGCGUCGGAUGUGAAAGCCCGGGGCUUAACCCCGGGUCUGCAUUCGAUACGGGCAGGCUAGAGUUCGGUAGGGGAGAUCGGAAUUCCUGGUGUGAGCGGUGGAAAUGACGCAGAUAUCAGGAGGAACACCGGUGGCGAAGGCGGAUCUCUGGGCCGAUACUGACGCUGAGGAGCGAAAGCGUGGGGAGCGAACAGG
Molecule: ribosomal RNA, 256 nt
Filed under: uncultured bacterium
Lineage: Bacteria
Description: partial 16S ribosomal RNA
Rfam family: Bacterial small subunit ribosomal RNA
Source: RNAcentral